AUGGCCCUGUCCCCUCUCCUCUUCACCCUCAUUGCUCACUGCACAGGAUCCUGGGCCCAGGCAGUGCUGACUCAGCCACCCUCAGUGUCUGGGGCUCUGGGCCGGAAGAUCACCAUCUUCUGCUCUGGGAGCAGCACCAACAUUGGUGGAGGCUAUAGUGUGCACUGGUACCAGCAGCUCCCAGGAAAUGCCCCCAAACUCCUCAUCUAUGGUAACAGCAAUCGACCCUCAGGAGUCCCCAAUCAAUUCUCUGGAUCUAAGUCUGGUAACUCAGGCUCCCUGAGCAUCACUGGGCUCCAGCUGGAGGAUGAGGCUGAUUAUUAUUGCCAGUCCUAUGAUAACAGCAUCAGAGUUUGCACAGUGCUCUAG
Non-coding RNA from Choloepus didactylus (southern two-toed sloth), 369 nucleotides. The record is from the annotation of a RefSeq genome assembly. Lineage: Eukaryota; Metazoa; Chordata; Mammalia; Pilosa; Megalonychidae.